CGAAAUGGUCAGUUGACCCCUUUAGGAGUUAUUGCCCUUUAUAGUCAAUUUUUAACAAUUUUUCGUAAAUCUUAGUUAUCUUUUACAAAAAUCUUCUCCUCUGAAACUACUGGGCCAAAUUAAACCAAACUUGGCCACAAUCAUCAUUGGGGUAUCUAGUUUAAAAAAUGUGUGGCGUGACCCGGUCAACCAACCAAGAUGGCCGCCACGGCUAAAAAUAGAACAUAGGGGUAAAAUGCAGUUUUGGGCUUAUAACUCAAAAACCAAAGCAUUUAUAGCAAAUCUGACAUGGGG
This 294-nucleotide long non-coding RNA is filed under the name Mytilus galloprovincialis (Mediterranean mussel). Lineage: Eukaryota; Metazoa; Mollusca; Bivalvia; Mytilida; Mytilidae. The record is from RNAcentral.